AUUGAACGCUGGCGGCAGGCCUAACACAUGCAAGUCGAGCGGAGCAGCGGACGGGUGAGUAAUGCCUAGGAAUCUGCCUGGUAGUGGGGGAUAACGUCAGGCAACGGGCGCUAAUACCGCAAAAUAUCAGCUGAACCUAGGUCGGAAUAGCCAGGUGGUGGGGUAAAGGCCUACCAAGGCGACGAUCAGGAAGUGGUCUGAGAGGAUGAUCAGUAACACUGCAACUGAGACACAGUCCAGACUCCUACGGGAGGCAGCAGUGGGGAAUAUUGGACAAUGGGGGAAAGCCUGAUCCAGCCAUGCCGCGUGUGUUAAGAAGGUCUUCGGAUUGUAAAGCACUUUAAGUUGGGAGGCGUUACCAACAGAAUAAGCACCGGCUAACUUCGUGCCAGCCGCCGCGGUAAUUC
RNAcentral lists this ribosomal RNA (407 nucleotides) under uncultured bacterium. RNAcentral's name for it is "partial 16S ribosomal RNA". It matches the Rfam family "Bacterial small subunit ribosomal RNA", at positions 30 to 526 of the family's 1533-position model. The record is from RNAcentral.